ACAAGAUGCACCUGGAUAGCGGGCUCGCAGUCCAGCCUAAACCCGGUUCAGGAGGUCCUAAAGCGGGUUUAAUGUCGGUUGGGAUGGACGUAUCGAUCCUGUGGCAUCGAUUCCAUUAAGCAAAUAUCGAUAUCAACUAUUGAAAUAAGAAACUGGGGGUGCAUGCAUCACUUUGGAUAGCUUACUUCAAUUAUGUGCCCCCGUACCUGGUGACGUAUUGAGCUGGCCCGUGUCACAUGACAAGGAAACUAUAUGAGCAUCAAACGUGCGACUCAGCCGGCCCGGUCUUCAGCUGUCACUAUCACAAAGGCAAUAAAAAGCCCCCCAGAAAUACUACUUCUACUUCUACUAGCUCUGUUAUUACUGUUCUGUUCUGUGCUUUAGUUAAUGUUAAACAUCUCUCUUGUUUCUGCUCUGUAACUUCAGUGAAAGGGUACAGUGGCACAUGUUCACUUCAACAUACAGCUUUUCUUUUUUGAGAAAUAAGUGAGGAAAGUGCAAAUGUGCAUGUUUUUGUUCAUAUUUAUUGUUUUUUAUUAUUAUAUAUAUAUUAUUAUGCAUUGCACAUAAUACAUUUGGGAUAAAUGGCCAGUAUUUGCCAUGUGAUUUGCCUUCAGUAUAAUAAUAUUUAGACUGAAAAAAUCAGUGAUCGGACGCUGUGUUGGUGGAAUAUUAUAGAUUAAACUGAAACCUUCCACAUGAAAGACAGCACGGAGCUGUGCUACUUAAAGAUCAAACAGAGCAGCAGAAACACGUUGUGCAUAUUUGGAAUUGCACCCAGCUGCAUAACAGAACCUGCAGUAGUCAGAACUCUAUUGGUCCUGAACACUCAGACCAUUGUUUAGACUGCUGUUGUAGACUAAACAAACACUCCUCUUAAACAAAAUGCACCUGUGACAGGGUCAGAAAUACUCGGGUGCAUGUUCAUUUGAAUGCUUUUAUCGGGUCAUUUAUGAGAUGCUGUUUUUGUGCAUGAUUGUUUUGGUCUUGUGUUUGAUUUGCAUGCUUUUAUACGUGCUCUUUCUUUUAUUACUUUUAGCAUGAGUUUUAUUUGUUUUACUAUUGACUGUGUCUGUUGAAUUGUCAAGCAAAUAUUCACAAACUGUCACAUCUGCAGGUCAUAUUCCAGCUGUGGAGCCCUGAGGGUCAGUGAGGUCUGAGCCAUGCGUCCAGCUGUGGUCACUGUCGCCCUGCUGGGGGUGGUGUACUAUCUGUUCACCGUGUCAGCCGGACCUUUUUCAAUAAGGAAAAUGUGUCUCAGGCGUCCAGAUAACCCAUGCUCUGAAGGAUGGAGCCGCAUUGAUGAGAAUCGUUGCGCUACAUAUAUCCAGAGCCAGAAAACUUUCCAUGAGGCACAGGAACACUGCAGAACCUUGAACAGUGACCUGGUGUCACUGCACAGUUAUAACGAGCUUUCCGACCUGCUCUGUUUGACCUGGCGUGCCGACCCCUCGUCCCCAAACUAUUUGGAUUGGAGCCCAGAGAUCAGAGUGUUUGUCAGGGAGCGAUUAGGAACACCGACGGAUCUGAAUUCAAGCUGAAUGUUUGGUUCCGUGUUAACAAGUACCGUGGAAAAGACCCUGCAUCAUCUUGAAGGUUGGAGAUGAGCCAUGGUUCAGUGCGGUACGCUGCUCCAAGAAGAAGAACUUUGUCUGUGCCAAGAAUAUGUGAUUAUCUCCAGCUGCUGUUUGCGUCAGUGUGGAUGUAAAGCAUGAAAGCACAGAUGUUUCACCAGCUGUCGAGUUAAUCCAGGAGGGAUGUGAUUGUGUUCUCAGAGAGGAAAGUGGAAGUCAUCUUGCCAGUCAUUUUCAUAUAUAUAAGAGUAUAUAUUAAUAUAGUAUAGAGGAAUAUAUUCUAAAGCUAAUCUGAAACCGUUACUGCUACUGUUGAAUAUAUAUUGAAGGACCAAAGACUGCCAGACAAAACUACUUGAAUAUGACCCCAAACGUUCUGACCUUUAGUCUGAUAUAGUGAAUUCAUCUUCAGCAUCUUCAGCAUGUUUCAUAGCCUCAGAGUGUACCACUGGGUUCAGGAAUAGAUGGGAAACUUGCUACCACCGGAGGAACGAGGCCGGAGGAUCCAAGACUCCCCCGUUCCCAUCCAUUCCAACCAGCAGGAAUAAGGUAGUGAGGCACCAGUGCUUAGAAAUUCAUGAUGCAUUUAUAGUGAAAGAGCUUAGCUAGGACACUAGAGGGCACUUUAUGUCUUGUUUUGCACACUGGAAGGGACAGAUCUGUUUUUAAUGACAGUGUGAGUCAUUUCUUUGACUCCUUUUCUAUCACUGAGUAAACUGUCGACCCCUGACUAAGUGACGUAUUUUAUGGAUCUCAUAUUGUAUCCAAGGAAUAACAAUAAUCGAUAAACAAUGAGCCCAAAUAUUGAACUCAGUGACUGCAGGAAGUUUGUGUAAAACAAGUGAUUUGGAUGAAUUUUGAGCAGAUUAUUUCCUGUGAAUAUUACAUGAGAGAUUUUAGCUCUUUGGUUGUUUUAACUGUUGACUUUUCUAAUGCAGAGACUCUGUGUUUAAUAGAGAGUGGAGGUUAUAUUUGCAGCUUGUGAUCAGCUCAAAGUUUACAUCUUAAAUAAUAAUCUAAAAAAUAAUAGUUUUCCUCACAGAGAAUAAUGAGAUGCUGAGAAAUAGGCCUCUUGUGUUCAUUAUAUAAACAUAAACUAUAGGUUGACUGUGUUUACAGUUGGGAACCACUGACCUAAUGUCUUUAUUUAAUGCUGGAAGUUGGGAAAUCUGUAGGGAUCUGUUUCCUGUUGAGAUGUAACCUGUAAGUCAUUUCAACCCGUUUCACACAGGAAGUUGUGCCCAAUAUGAAAUGUUACAUUGGUAUUCAUCAGUGACUGUGAAGUUGUUCGGGUUACUGCAGUUGGUUGGUUUUACUUGAGGAAAGUGUUUGAAUUCUGAGUCCAACACUAAACUGAUGAACAGUUGGUGGAUAGUAGUCAGUUACUCCGUUAAUUUAAGUCUGCUGACGUCUCUAUAACACUUGAAUCUUUGUAUUAUGGUAUUUAUAAGCUGACAUAAAGUUGACCAAAGACGCCUCAGUGCCUUUUCCAACAUACUGACACACACACACACACACACAC
This is a long non-coding RNA of Dicentrarchus labrax (European seabass), 3096 nucleotides long. RefSeq lists it as uncharacterized. The transcript has 5 exons. The record is from RefSeq and is a predicted model, not a curated record. Lineage: Eukaryota; Metazoa; Chordata; Actinopteri; Moronidae.